AAAGUUGGUGAAAUAUUGGGAUUCAGAUAAAGGGAAAGUAUGUUCAAUACUUAGCUUACUGUGCAUGAAGCAAUAUUUAAUAUCUUAUUCAUAAUUAUAUAAUAAAUACAUACUCUUUGAAUGUGAGUGCAGGAUAUGUCAGAAUGCGGAAAAAAAAGCACGAGCCUCCCAAAAUCAGUUUCAUACAUCUGGCUCUAAAAGUUUUGCAAACCGACAAGCUGAUUAUGAAGAUGAACAUGGACAGAAAAUGAGCUUGUUAGAGCUGUGGAUUAAAACCCAUACGGGAUGAUGUUAAAGCUAAGGUUGAAGAGUUGAGGAUGAUGCACCCUAAGAUGUCUGAACAAGAGCUCGAAGAUGAAGCAUUUCAGCAAACUAUGUAUGGCAAUGAGAUUCCCGAUCGUCCUGUGGGUUACGGAUUAGGGGUUAAAAAAUGGGACAUUUUCGGAGUACGUGGUGUAUAAGGCCAUCAUCUAUGUAUUUUGGUUUUUAGUCUUAUAUUAGUGAUGUAUUUAUUUAGGGACAAGCUACUAUAUAUAUAUGAUAUACGACAUUUUUUUAAAAAUUUUAUUAAUUGUGUUGAU
Long non-coding RNA from Chenopodium quinoa (quinoa), 581 nucleotides. RefSeq lists it as uncharacterized. The record is from RefSeq and is a predicted model, not a curated record. Lineage: Eukaryota; Viridiplantae; Streptophyta; Magnoliopsida; Caryophyllales; Amaranthaceae. The transcript is spliced from 3 exons.